RNAcentral lists this unclassified non-coding RNA (314 nucleotides) under plant metagenome. RNAcentral describes it as "partial contains 5.8S ribosomal RNA, internal transcribed spacer 2, and large subunit ribosomal RNA". The stretch from base 1 to 104 matches the Rfam family "5.8S ribosomal RNA", at positions 51 to 154 of the family's 154-position model. The record is from RNAcentral.
AACUGCGAUAAGUAAUGUGAAUUGCAGAAUUCAGUGAAUCAUCGAGUCUUUGAACGCACAUUGCGCCCCCUGGCAUUCCGGGGGGCAUGCCUGUCCGAGCGUCAUUGCUGCCCUUCAAGCCCGGCUUGUGUGUUGGGUCGACGUCCCCUCCGGGGGACGGGCCCGAAAGGCAGCGGCGGCACCGCGUCCGGUCCUCGAGCGUAUGGGGCUUUGUCACCCGCUCGAUAAGGACCGGCCGGGCGCCAGCCGGCGUCUCCAACCUUUUUUUCUCAGGUUGACCUCGGAUCAGGUAGGGAUACCCGCUGAACUUAAGC